AUGUGGUAGAUAUAUGCACGAUAUAUGUAUGUAUGUAUGUAUAAAAGCAGGGCAGUAUAUAUAUCGUGCCUAUAUCUACCACAU
Pongo abelii (Sumatran orangutan) is the source of this 84-nucleotide non-coding RNA. The record is from Rfam. NCBI's taxonomy places the organism in Eukaryota, Metazoa, Chordata, Mammalia, Primates, Hominidae.